ACGACGGCAAAGAUGAUGACGGUGACAUGGUUCUGUUCGGUCGGCGAAUUUGGUUUAAUAUUUUCAAAAGAAAUUGAAGGGUCCGAAGAAACGAAAAAUCUUUGAUUCCCCUCCCCUCUUCUUUCGAAAAUAUUAAACCGGCGAUGUCGUUGGUGAAGAUGAUGACUGUGGCGCGGAUUUGUUCAGCCGGCGAAUUUGGUUUAAUAUUUUCAAAAGGAAUUGAAGGGUGCGAAGAAACAGGAAAUCUUUGAUUCCCUUCCCCUCUUUUUUCAAAAAUAUUAAACCGGCGACAUCGUCUGUUAUGUUGUUUGAUACCUUUCUUAUGCAAUCUUGCUUGAAUACUGUUCCUGGUUGGAACUUCUUAUACUUGUAUUGAUUGCGACGCCUAGGACGUACAGGGAAGACUCUGUCCGUUCGGCGGUCUGUCGGCGGCGUCGCAAUCUCGGCCAAAUAGGCGGGUCGUCGUGGGUUGUGACAUCGUCGGUGAAGAUAAAUGACUGUGGCGCGAAUUUGUUCGACUGACGAAUUUGGUUUGACAUUCGAAAGAUGUUGAAGGAUCCGAAAAAACGGAAAAUCAAAGAUUCCCCUCCCAUCUUCUUUCGAAAGUAUCAAAUCGUUGGUGCUGGGGGUGGUCGCGGCAAUGUAGAUCACCUAUUCCAUUAUCAACGACUUCGAAUGGGGUAUUGAGAGGUCCGAAGAAACAGGAAGCCAUUGGCUCCCCUCCACUCUUCCAUCGAAGUCGUCUAGACGAUAUAGAUGACUACGGUAGCAGGACCAAAAAAGAAAAAAAAAGUGAGGGGGGAAAAAAAGAUAU
RNAcentral lists this long non-coding RNA (814 nucleotides) under Ananas comosus (pineapple). Its description in RNAcentral is "long non-coding RNA (ACOM_LNC038196)". Lineage: Eukaryota; Viridiplantae; Streptophyta; Magnoliopsida; Poales; Bromeliaceae. The record is from RNAcentral.